GCCGAAGUGGUGGAAUUGGUAGACACGCUAUCUUGAGGGGGUAGUGACCUACGGUCGUGCCGGUUCAAGUCCGGCCUUCGGCACCA
This 86-nucleotide transfer RNA is filed under the name Aliikangiella marina. RNAcentral's name for it is "tRNA-Leu". It matches the Rfam family "tRNA". From Rfam's summary of the family: Transfer RNA (tRNA) molecules are approximately 80 nucleotides in length. RNAcentral also lists the same sequence under 11 other names. The record is from RNAcentral. Lineage: Bacteria; Pseudomonadati; Pseudomonadota; Gammaproteobacteria; Oceanospirillales; Pleioneaceae.